ACAAAAAGGAACCCAUUCAAUUUGAAACUAUAAAAUACAUCAAGUUUCUUAUUAUGACUCCACAACCAUCAACACUAAUACACCUACCAUUACAACCAUUGAGCUGAAACAUAACAUCACUAACAUUCCUACACCGUCAAUAUACAACUUGCAAAACCACCAACAUACCAACUACAUAUUGAAAAACCCACAACAACCUAUUCAUUUUUCCAACAAUUUCCAAUUCUUUAUUUGUAAUUUUAGUAAUAAAAAAUCCU
This 257-nucleotide long non-coding RNA is filed under the name Olea europaea (common olive). RNAcentral describes it as "long non-coding RNA (OEUR_LNC003044)". The record is from RNAcentral. Lineage: Eukaryota; Viridiplantae; Streptophyta; Magnoliopsida; Lamiales; Oleaceae.